ACAGUAUUAGAUUAGAUAUUAUUGGAAUCGCACCCGGCGACUAUAAUGAAACAAGUCGAAUUUUACACUUUUUGAGUUAAUAACGACAUGAAAAUGAUUUUUUUCCGGUUCAUCUACGGCGCAACUCUAAGCAGUAUUUUUUUUUAUAUAUUAUGACGGUACGCGUAAUUGUGUCGAUAAAAAAUCAAGACUGACAUAAUUUCAAUUUAACCAUAAUAAUGUAGUAGGUAUAUUAUUAUAUCACCUAUAUGUAUACCCAAUGAUUUUGUUUUCUGAUCUAAAUUGUGUCGAUAUUUUAUCAUAGUCAAUUAGUGUUGAAUAUUAUCUGCACAUUUACAAUACAAAAUCUUUCAAAAGCGUAUGAAGUUCGACCAGAAAUUUCAAAAUCUAAUAAAGAAGAUUUCAUUGAACUUUGUAGACAAAAUCUGAUACCACCUCUGUACCACGAAUUGUAUAGGUAACUCGCCUAAUUAUUUAUGUAUUAAUUUUUAUUUAGUGUCGUUUACAAUUGUGAUCUAAAUAUUAAGGUUUGACC
Non-coding RNA from Cinara cedri, 535 nucleotides. NCBI's taxonomy places the organism in Eukaryota, Metazoa, Arthropoda, Insecta, Hemiptera, Aphididae. The record is from the annotation of a GenBank genome assembly.